GUGAAGAACUCUGGUGGUAUACGAUGGUUCCGCGUCUGAUUAGCUAGUUGGUGGGGUAAUGGCCUACCAAGGCAACGAUCAGUAGCCGGCCUGAGAGGGGUGAACGGCCACAUUGGGACUGAGACACGGCCCAGACUCCUACGGAAGGCAGCAG
RNAcentral lists this ribosomal RNA (154 nucleotides) under uncultured bacterium. Its description in RNAcentral is "partial 16S ribosomal RNA". It matches the Rfam family "Bacterial small subunit ribosomal RNA", at positions 199 to 354 of the family's 1533-position model. The record is from RNAcentral.